RNAcentral lists this ribosomal RNA (301 nucleotides) under uncultured bacterium. RNAcentral's name for it is "partial 16S ribosomal RNA". It matches the Rfam family "Bacterial small subunit ribosomal RNA", at positions 509 to 807 of the family's 1533-position model. The record is from RNAcentral.
CAAUAGCCGCGGGAAUACGUAGGGUGCAAGCGUUAAUCGGAAUUACUGGGCGUAAAGCGUGCGCAGGCGGUUUGUUAAGACAGAUGUGAAAUCCCCGGGCUCAACCUGGGAACUGCAUUUGUGACUGGCAAGCUAGAGUGUGGCAGAGGGGGGUGGAAUUCCGCGUGUAGCAGUGAAAUGCGUAGAUAUGCGGAGGAACACCGAUGGCGAAGGCAGCCCCCUGGGCCAACACUGACGCUCAUGCACGAAAGCGUGGGGAGCAAACAGGAUUAGAUACCCCUGUAGUCCCUGUCUCUUAUAC